GCGGCCUAUCAGCUUGUUGGUGAGGUAACGGCUCACCAAGGCUACGACGGGUAACCGGCCUGAGAGGGCGAACGGUCACACUGGGACUGAGACACGGCCCAGACUCCUACGGGAGGCAGCAGUGGGGAAUAUUGGGCAAUGGGCGGAAGCCUGACCCAGCGACGCCGCGUGAGGGAUGAAGGCCUUCGGGUUGUAAACCUCUUUCAGCAGGGAAGAAGCGAAAGUGACGGUACCUGCAGAAGAAGCACCGGCUAACUAUGUGCCAGCAGCCGCGGUAAUACAUAGGGUGCAAGCGUUGUCCGGAAUUAUUGGGCGUAAAGAGCUCGUAGGUGGCUCGUCACGUCGAAUGUGAAACCCUGAGGCUCAACCUCAGGCCUGCAUCCGAUACGGGCGAACUGGAGUGUGGUAGGGGAGACUGGAAUUCCU
RNAcentral lists this ribosomal RNA (426 nucleotides) under uncultured Actinomycetes bacterium. RNAcentral describes it as "bacterial SSU rRNA". It matches the Rfam family "Bacterial small subunit ribosomal RNA", at positions 233 to 671 of the family's 1533-position model. The record is from RNAcentral. Lineage: Bacteria; Bacillati; Actinomycetota; Actinomycetes.